This 434-nucleotide long non-coding RNA is filed under the name Solanum tuberosum (potato). Its description in RNAcentral is "long non-coding RNA (STUB_LNC000143)". Lineage: Eukaryota; Viridiplantae; Streptophyta; Magnoliopsida; Solanales; Solanaceae. The record is from RNAcentral.
GUUUGCAAUUAGUUCUAUUCUUUUCCUAAUUUAUUGAUUAAUUAUUGUUGUUUGUUUGAUCAGGUAUGGGUAAUGAUGAUAGGAGACCGAUUCUCCUUCUACACUUGCUGUUACCUUUGUCUCAAUGUUAAUUCUGAGGUUUUUGUUGUGAGAAUUCAUGUGUUGGUGUCACCCUGGUUACUACUCUGAAACCGAGCAAUUUCCUUUUGUUGAAUCACAACGCAAGUAGAAUUGGAAAUUUGGCUCUCUAGGCAUGGAUCUUCUAUUCUAGACAUGUGUGUCACAACCAUAUGGGAGCUAUCAGUUUGGAUUUGAUAUCUUGACUUCCAUCUUAAUGUUAAUUUUGAUGCUAAUAAUGUGUCGCAUCAACUUCUUUACCUUGUUAUUUUGUUUGGUCAAGAAUACAGAGAUGUGCAUCUCUAGGUGGAAGUAGU